Molecule: long non-coding RNA, 739 nt
Organism: Girardinichthys multiradiatus
Lineage: Eukaryota; Metazoa; Chordata; Actinopteri; Cyprinodontiformes; Goodeidae
Exons: 2
Source: RefSeq, a predicted model, not a curated record
AGGAGACCACGGAGAGGAUAUAUGGCUUUUGUGUUGGGAAGAUUUUACAUUGAGGAAUACCAACUUUUCUUUUUUUUAUGAAGGUGAACUGACUUUUUGACUUUGACUGUGCUUGCUGCCCAGUGAGCUCUGGAUGAAGCUUUUUGGCAACUAGAUGAGAUGCUGCUGUCACAAGGGCUACGCCAGUGGAGGUCCAGGGGAGCUGACAACACUGUUGUUUUCUCUUGCCUGGCUACAUUGCUCCAUUUAGCCAUUGUUUGGUGUUAUUCUGCUUGCACCAGCAAACAAUAAAGUUGCACUUUAUCAGGACCUGACAUCACUGUUUCAUGUGAGGGAUAACAAUUUUCCACAUGUUCUCUUGGCCAUCUCUCUACUCCACCUGUCCCCUUAUCGACAUGUCUCUGUGGGCUCUGAAGGCGGAGGCCGAAUCAUGAGGGCACGGUGUUUGGCGAUGAGGUGACGUAUUUAAACAGCGAUUACCUCCAGGAGUUGAGUGAAUGAAAUGAGGUAAAAGCUGUAUUUGAGUUAGAAAGACAAAGAGAGGUAUUUUCCCCAAGAGGAAGCAGUUGCAUACCUCAAUGUUAAAAAUAAAGCUGUCCAGAUCCAACAGGGUGGGCAGCUCAUUCUGUGCUCUCAGUGGGGGUCUGACUUCAAAGGCAGCUUUGGUUUCAUGAAGUCGUGGUAGAGUUUCUUCUCAUGCUAUCAAAUAUCUCUCUGCAAAUAAAGCUUCGUUUCAAAA